GCGCGAGUCUCAGGGUCGUACGAAACCCGUUGGACGCAAUGAAAGUAAAAAUGGUCUUUACGGACUGUUUAGGUGAGAUCCCGGAACCGGCGACGGUAACGGGCGCACCACCGGCCCGUUUCAGCUGCUACGUCAGCGGGGCGGAGCAAGAGUGUACGCGUUGGGACCCGAAAGAUGGUGAACUAUGCCUGAGCAGGGUGAAGCCAGAGGAAACUCUGGUGGAGGCCCGAAGCGGUUCUGACGUGCAAAUCGAUCGUGUGAC
RNAcentral lists this ribosomal RNA (262 nucleotides) under Piscicola geometra. Its description in RNAcentral is "partial 28S ribosomal RNA". It matches the Rfam family "Eukaryotic large subunit ribosomal RNA", at positions 684 to 910 of the family's 3401-position model. Lineage: Eukaryota; Metazoa; Annelida; Clitellata; Hirudinida; Piscicolidae. The record is from RNAcentral.